Molecule: long non-coding RNA, 349 nt
Filed under: Lotus japonicus
Lineage: Eukaryota; Viridiplantae; Streptophyta; Magnoliopsida; Fabales; Fabaceae
Description: long non-coding RNA (LJAP_LNC001749)
Source: RNAcentral
UUUAGCAUAGAAACAUGAAAUUUGCAUGAAAGGAGAUCAAAUAGAUUACAUGAGCAUCAAGACAACUAGUUCUAAUCCCAACAAAUGAGAAAUUAGCUAUCCAUUUCCAUGGAUAGCUUUACAAUGAUAAAAGAGAAGAAGAACGAUGAAAAACCAACUCUGUGACGGUUCCCCGGCGAUGAAAUCAGCUCCAAAGCCUUCUCUCUAGUCUCCUAGGUCUCCCUUGAUGAUCUCCUUCGUUUUCUCUCUGUUUUGGUGAGUUUCCAAGUGAUGGGUUCCAAGAAGUUCUCCUCUGUUCUGCUUUAAAAUUUCCUUUUAAAUGGCAAAUCUGGCACGACCGCUCAGCCCC